RNAcentral lists this ribosomal RNA (496 nucleotides) under uncultured bacterium. Its description in RNAcentral is "partial 16S ribosomal RNA". It matches the Rfam family "Bacterial small subunit ribosomal RNA", at positions 28 to 507 of the family's 1533-position model. The record is from RNAcentral.
GAUGAACGCUGGCGGCGUGCCUAAUACAUGCAAGUCGAGCGAACAGACGAGGAGCUUGCUCCUCUGACGUUAGCGGCGGACGGGUGAGUAACACGUGGAUAACCUACCUAUAAGACUGGGAUAACUUCGGGAAACCGGAGCUAAUACCGGAUAAUAUAUUGAACCGCAUGGUUCAAUAGUGAAAGACGGUUUUGCUGUCACCUAUAGAUGGAUCCGCGCCGCAUUAGCUAGUUGGUAAGGUAACGGCUUACCAAGGCAACGAUGCGUAGCCGACCUGAGAGGGGAAUCGGCAAAAUGGAAACUGAGAAACGGCCCAGAUCCUUACGGAGGCAGCAGUAGGGAAUCUUCCGCAAUGGGCGAAAGCCUGACGGAGCAACGCCGCGUGAGUGAUGAAGGUCUUCGGAUCGUAAAACUCUGUUAUUAGGGAAGAACAAAUGUGUAAGUAACUAUGCACGUCUUGACGGUACCUAAUCAGAAAGCCACGGCUAACUACGUG